UGCAGAAUCCCGUGAACCAUCGAAUCUUUGAACGCAAGUUGCGCCCGACGCCUUCGGGCUGAGGGCACGCCUGCCUGGGCGUCA
Molecule: ribosomal RNA, 84 nt
Filed under: Plantago maritima (sea plantain)
Lineage: Eukaryota; Viridiplantae; Streptophyta; Magnoliopsida; Lamiales; Plantaginaceae
Description: partial 5.8S ribosomal RNA
Rfam family: 5.8S ribosomal RNA
About the family: 5.8S ribosomal RNA (5.8S rRNA) is a component of the large subunit of the eukaryotic ribosome. It is transcribed by RNA polymerase I as part of the 45S precursor that also contains 18S and 28S rRNA.
Source: RNAcentral